This 255-nucleotide ribosomal RNA is filed under the name uncultured bacterium. RNAcentral describes it as "partial 16S ribosomal RNA". It matches the Rfam family "Bacterial small subunit ribosomal RNA", at positions 524 to 776 of the family's 1533-position model. The record is from RNAcentral.
UACGUAGGGUGCGAGCGUUAAUCGGAAUUACUGGGCGUAAAGCGUGCGCAGGCGGUGAUGUAAGACCGAUGUGAAAUCCCCGGGCUUAACCUGGGAACUGCAUUGGUGACUGCAUUGCUGGAGUAGUGGCAGAGGGGGGGUGGAAUUCCACGUGUAGCAGUGAAAUGCGUAGAGAUGUGGAGGAACACCGAUGGCGAAGGCAGCCCCCUGGGCCAAUACUGACGCUCAUGCACGAAAGCGUGGGGAGCAAACAGG